UGGGGAAUCUUAGACAAUGGGCGCAAGCCUGAUCUAGCCAUGCCGCGUGAGCGAUGAAGGCCUUAGGGUUGUAAAGCUCUUUCAGUGGGGAAGAUAAUGACUGUACCCACAGAAGAAGCCCCGGCUAACUCCGUGCCAGCAGCCGCGGUAAUACGGAGGGGGCUAGCGUUGUUCGGAAUUACUGGGCGUAAAGCGCACGUAGGCGGACCGGAAAGUCAGAGGUGAAAUCCCAGGGCUCAACCUUGGAACUGCCUUUGAAACUCCUGGUCUUGAGGUCGAGAGAGGUGAGUGGAAUUCCGAGUGUAGAGGUGAAAUUCGUAGAUAUUCGGAGGAACACCAGUGGCGAAGGCGGCUCACUGGCUCGAUACUGACGCUGAGGUGCGAAAGCGUGGGGAGCAAACA
This 402-nucleotide ribosomal RNA is filed under the name uncultured bacterium. RNAcentral describes it as "bacterial SSU rRNA". It matches the Rfam family "Bacterial small subunit ribosomal RNA", at positions 355 to 774 of the family's 1533-position model. The record is from RNAcentral. RNAcentral also lists the same sequence under 1 other name.